Non-coding RNA from Sander lucioperca (pikeperch), 82 nucleotides. The record is from the annotation of a RefSeq genome assembly. Lineage: Eukaryota; Metazoa; Chordata; Actinopteri; Perciformes; Percidae.
GGUAGUGUGGCCGAGCGGUCUAAGGCACUGGAUUAAGGCUCAAGUCUCUCAGGAGGCGUGGGUUCAAAUCCCACCACUGCCA